UACGUAGGGGGCAAGCGUUGUCCGGAAUUAUUGGGCGUAAAGAGCUCGUAGGCGGUGUGUCGCGUCGGCCGUGAAAACCUGCAGCUUAACUGUGGGCUUGCGGUCGAUACGGGCAUCACUGGAGUUCGGCAGGGGAGACUGGAAUUCCUGGUGUAGCGGUGAAAUGCGCAGAUAUCAGGAGGAACACCGGUGGCGAAGGCGGGUCUCUGGGCCGAUACUGACGCUGAGGAGCGAAAGCGUGGGGAGCGAACAGG
This 254-nucleotide ribosomal RNA is filed under the name uncultured bacterium. RNAcentral's name for it is "partial 16S ribosomal RNA". It matches the Rfam family "Bacterial small subunit ribosomal RNA", at positions 524 to 776 of the family's 1533-position model. The record is from RNAcentral.